CGCGUAGGCGGCCAUGUAAGUCAGAUGUGAAAGCCCGGGGCUCAACCCCGGAAGUGCAUUUGAUACUGCAUGGCUUGAGUAUGGGGGAGGGAAGUGGAAUUCCUGGUGUAGAGGUGAAAUUCGUAGAUAUCAGGAGGAACACCGGUGGCGAAGGCGACUUCCUGGACCAAUACUGACGCUGAGGCGCGAAGGCGUGGGUAGCAAACA
RNAcentral lists this ribosomal RNA (207 nucleotides) under uncultured bacterium. RNAcentral describes it as "partial 16S ribosomal RNA". It matches the Rfam family "Bacterial small subunit ribosomal RNA", at positions 568 to 774 of the family's 1533-position model. The record is from RNAcentral.